RNAcentral lists this long non-coding RNA (527 nucleotides) under Brassica rapa (field mustard). RNAcentral's name for it is "long non-coding RNA (BRAP_LNC004349)". Lineage: Eukaryota; Viridiplantae; Streptophyta; Magnoliopsida; Brassicales; Brassicaceae. The record is from RNAcentral.
AAGAAUCCGAUCCCAUGUAUACCAAGCCCCAUUGCAAGCAGAGUUGAGCUCAAUUAGGUUGGAGGUCAGCUUUGGUUCCUUCAAACACUCUCAUCAAGUGUAACAUAGUUGACAGGUUGAUCCACUUUGGUAUCUUUAGUACUAUCUGCAACUAGUAAGUCUAGAAUGGUGUGGUUAGAUAACAAGCAAAAUCAAUAAGUUCAUCAUCCCCUUCUUGCACUAGUAAAACACAAGGCCACAACCAGGAACAUGCCACACGAAUUUCGUGGCAAAAACGUAAAAGCUACGUUUUAAUCGAGGGUAUCGACAUAUAUUAUUAUUUUAUCUAGUCGGCCAGAAAAAACAAAAAAAAAGAUUUGCCACGAACAGAAUCGUAGCAAAGCCGUGGCUAGCCCACCGAAAAAAUCCCAUCAAUCCAAUCCUGCACAUAAGGCAGUGAUAAAUACAAAAACUGAAGCAGCCAUGAAAUGUUUCGUGGGCAAUUUUGUGGCAAGCUUUCUCAGUGCAAUCACAUCCGUCUGAUAGGG